AGGAAAGAGAAUAACAUUGUAGAGGACAAGAGCCAGUACAUUCAUGAAUGUUUCCCACUUUUCCUCCUAGGUCAAUCAAUGCAAGAACCACCGUAGGUAUCCUUGAGGAAGGUCCCUUGUUGUACCUUUAAGUAUGAAUUCACUCGCCAUCUUUAAGGGUGUACCUUUGCGAUUUUCACUAACUGCAAGAUANAGGUAUACUGCCCAGGGUAGUUGUAUGGAGCUUUGCCCUUAAGAAAUGCAUUUAAGGUCUCCUCAAAUUCUUCUAUUGUUGGCAUCAACUAGAAAUGGGUCAUAGUGUUGGGCUAAAACAAUAAUUGUUGUUGUCUGGACCUCCACCUCUGACAGGGUCCACAAAUUCCCACCCAUUCCUGAAUGCAUUUUUCAAGGUCAUCUUUUUCAUAACCCUCAAGAGAUUGAUGUUGCCCCCCUUGACUUCAAUGCGUAUGCUUUUCUUCAAAAAGUCUAAACCUGAAUGCCCCUUGACUCAAAAUCCCAUGUUAAUUUCCAUUUUUACCGUCAUCACGACUUUAUAAUUUCUUGACUAGAUCUCACAAAAUUUUGACAAGACCAUAAAAACAUGAGCAACAAUGAAAGAAUGCAGUGAUAUGUACAAGGUGCUUGAUUUUAUUAAGCAAAAAUGAGGGUUAUAAGGCUGCAGACAUCUCCCUUUGUGCCCUAGUGAAGGUUCAACAUUUUAGAUUUAAGGUCAAGUAUAUGCAACCUCACAAGGAUGGUUCCCUGAACCUAAAGGUCAAUGGUCACUAGAGCUAUGGCCCCCUCCACAGCAUCUCCACAACAGUCGAGUAAUCAACUAGGUGUGGAAACACACAUGAAGAGAACAGACUCUAGCUGGAGUUCUCACGAUAGCCAAACAGGAAGUACAUCCCAGAGUGACACCGCUACACAACUCCUCUAAUUCUAAGUUACGCUCAGACCCGGGUAUAGGGCCCCACUCAUGAUAUGCUGAAAGUGUGUGUGUGAAGGGAGAACAUCAUGCACAUCCAAACCCUCACCUGCAAAACAGCCAGAAAAAUUCCUAGGCAGGUAUAAACAUAUUGUCUGCCCUAGGGUUCAAUAUUCAAGCAAAUCACAUGCAAUUAUUUCAAACAUCAAACAUAGAUAAGAAAAGGGAAAGAAAAACACAAAGCAAAACCACAUCGAAAUUCGCGCAUCUAACUAAACGGCCUGACUCUCGAAUGUCCCCAGCGGAGUCGCCAUCUGUCGCAACCGAAAAAAUCGCGACGGGACGACGACGAUCCAAAAAGAAAUUUAAUUUGAAAAAAAUAUGUUUUGGAGUCGCCACCAUAGUUUAUUCUGGAAAACUAUGGAAAAAACCAUAAAAAUAUAAGACACGGUCCACGAAAACCAAAGAUUGGGUUCGGGAGUCGGUUACGCGUAGGGAAGGUGUUAGCACCCUACAACGCCUGCCCAAAGGCAGUACCUUUAAUUAAAUNCGCGANUAAAGAUGUGGUUUGCAAAAUGUUUAACUAUCCCAAGAACAAUGAUAUAAAGGAACAAAAAUAUUUUUUAGUUUUUUGGGCCCGACAAGGAUUGACCUUGCUCCUACGUAUUCUCAGUCAUACUGAGAAAUCAGGGUUACGUAGUUCUUCAAAAAGGUUGAUUGUUUGAAGAUGUUUUUAGUUUUUGAAGAUUUUAUAUUUUUUUGUAUUUUUUAUAUAGAAAGAGAAAAGGUUUUUAGCACAAGGCCUACGCGAGCGGUCGCACGUGUGCUUAAACC
RNAcentral lists this long non-coding RNA (1741 nucleotides) under Vigna radiata. RNAcentral's name for it is "long non-coding RNA (VRAD_LNC008781)". The record is from RNAcentral. Lineage: Eukaryota; Viridiplantae; Streptophyta; Magnoliopsida; Fabales; Fabaceae.